AUGGCGCCGAAGCAGCUUCCUACCGUCCUCCUCGUCGUCUGCGCCACCCUCCUGGCCCUCGCCCCACCGUUGCUCGCCGGCGACCCCGACAUGCUUCAGGACUUCUGCGUCGCCGAUUACAAAUCCCUCGACGGCCCACUGCGGCUGAACGGGUUCCCGUGCAAGAGGCCGGAGAACGUGACGGCGGACGACUUCUUCUCAGCCGCGCUGGCAUUCCCGGGUAACACGGGCAACCCAGUCGGCUCCGCGGUGACGGCGGCGAACGUGGAGAAGCUCCCGGGGCUCAACACGCUGGGCGUCUCCAUGUCACGCGUGGACUACGCGCCGUGGGGCGUGAACCCGCCGCACACCCACCCACGCGCCACCGAGAUCAUCUACGUGCUGGAGGGCUCCCUCGACGUCGGCUUCGUCACCACCGCCGGCAAGCUCUUCGCCCGCACCGUCUGCAAGGGCGAGCUCUUCGUCUUCCCCCGUGGCCUCGUCCACUACCAGAAGAACAACGGAGGCGCCCCGGCCGCCGCCAUCUCGGCCUUCAACAGCCAGCUUCCGGGCACGCAGUCCCUCGCCCUAGCGAUGUUCGCAGCCUCGCCACCGGUGCCCACGGACGUGCUGGCCAGGGCGCUCCAGAUCGACGGCGGCCUGGUGGAGGCCAUCAAGGCCAAGUUCCCGCCAAAGUAA
RNAcentral lists this ribosomal RNA (678 nucleotides) under Triticum aestivum (bread wheat). RNAcentral describes it as "partial small subunit ribosomal RNA". Lineage: Eukaryota; Viridiplantae; Streptophyta; Magnoliopsida; Poales; Poaceae. The record is from RNAcentral.